GUACGCUGGCCCCAGCCCUACUCCUGGCUCUUCAGCCUUGGUUCCCUUUGGCAGAGGCUGUGGUCCUGCCUGCUCCUGUUUUCCCUCCCCACCUCACCUGGACCUGUGGAUUUUCCCUUGAUAAACCCAGCUGGAUGUGCUGUGUGAGGAGUCCUCUCGUUUUCUCUGGUGAGGCUUUGAUUACACCAUCUGGGCUUGGGCGUCUGUUGGGCUGGGGGAGUUGUCAAGGAGCCUGAAGUGGAGACGCUUUUGGUGCUGCAGACACCCCAACAGCACCUGCCUGGGGAAGCUGCUCUGGCCACCCACAGGUUUUGGUGGUCCCCACAGAAGACCUCUCACCUGCUUUACAACCACCAUGACAGAUAGACUGAGAUGGGAGAAGCCUCUCUCUCGAGGACUGAGACAUGAGACCCCUUUGUGGAAAAGCUUCCCCCUGCUCCCAAGGACUGGGACUGAAGCCCCCAGCCCAGGGGGAGCCGAGCUGACCAGAGUGAGAUGGAUGUUGCAGGUGUGACCAUUGGACCAAGAAGACAAUGGCUCUCGCCCACUGCUGAGAAGAGGGACUGUGUGUACCCUUCCUCAAAUGCCUUUUCCCUCAGAAAUUACAAUAGACCAUUCUGUUCUACUUUUGAUUUGAUUUCAAGAUUCAUCCCCUUCCCCCAUCAAAAAAGAGAAUAAUAGGAAUUCAAAUUGACUGGAAUCUCUGAGAUCUCCCUGGAUGUGACCUGGUGAACUCCAUGGGCUGGGUGUCGAAGGACUUGGCUGUUCUACGUUUGCCAGGACACGGCUUUGACCCAAUUGGCCAAGGAAACAAAACAAUCCUCAGCAGAAUCCAACUGACAAGUCACUUCAGGAAAAAUCCAGGGAGAGAAAAUGAUGUCUCUCUCUGUUCAGAGAAUGGGAAUGCCACAGGGUCACCUCAGACCUCCACUCUGCUGGUAAAUCUGGCCAAGGACUGGCAUCUGAAGCUGCAGGGAGACGUCUCUGCCGUGAGUUCCAACACAGCCUGGCCCUGAUUGGCCAAAGGGUGAAAACAACUCCCAGCAGAAUGCAAUGGAACAAUCACCUGUGGGUGAACAAUCUCCAAACACAUUCCCCAUGUGAGCACAACAAAGGAGAAGCAAAUGAGAUAAGAAUUGUUUUCCUUUUUCUCUGAGAUUUCUCAGCUUCCCAGGAGAAAAUCCUGGGUGAAGGGAUUUUUUCAGAGAAUGUGAAUGUUACAGUGAGCAAGUGGGAUGUAUAAAGGCUUUUAAAAAUGGAUUUGUUGGGUUUUUCCUCUCCCUUUAAUGGCACAGAGAUAAACUUUCUCACUUAGGGCAGCAGAGUGGAGCGUCACAGCCUCUCUGCUUGGUGUAUCUUUGCUACAUGGUGCUGAGAAUAGCUGAGGAGAUGGGAACAGAUCAUCAAACACAGAUUUGGGGACGGGGAGAGGUGGGUGGAGGAAGCUGCCUAGAUUGGGAAUAGUGUGAGCAGGAAGGGAAAGGAAGGAGCAGCAGUGAAGAGCUCUGAGAGACAGCAUGAGUGACAGAGGCAGAAAAUAGCUCUGAGCUGGGUGGCCCCAGCUGACUCCUCGGAAGUUACAGAGAGGAGCAAUUUGGGAUUCUCUGGGCUGAGUCACCUUGGUGGGGAUGUAGUAAAAGGCAGUGGAUGGAAAUAUUCCCCCUGGUUCUCUGCUAGCCACUGUUCACCAGGGCUGGUCUGGGGCUUGUGACUGCUGAACACAGACUCAGCAUCUGUGAUACCCUCACAGCACUGGAGUUUCCCCUGCACAUUCUGUGGCCAUCCCCUCUACAGUUUGGACAUGCAAGUCCAAAGGAGUUUGAUCUGUACUUCAUUUUUCUUCUAAAACAGGAAUCACUCUUUUUUCGGAAGUGACUUGGUUUGGAGGGGUUGGUAAGGAUGUAUUGUGUAACAGCACUGUCAUUUUUAAGGUGGAAAGGCCUUUCCAAAGUGACUGUCACAGCCCUUCCUGAAGCUGGAAGAGUUGGGGCUGUCCAGAACCGAUCUUGAAGGUGCAAAACUUAUUUCUGGGCUAAACAGAUGAAUGAGGAUACAAUUCAGCAUCAUAAAGUCACCCCAGGACAUGGGGUCAAAUUUUGGACAAGUUCCUCCAUGCCUAUUCCCUGGCCACCUGAGUGGAUUGGCUGUGAGUGUUGGGAGCACCAGAAGAAAAGGAGUUUGAAGGCACCUGAGCUGCCUCAGAUCCUGCUUUGGGCACAGUAUUUAGGUAAGCCCUGGAGUAACAUGCAUGGCCUUUCUACUCUGAGCGAUGCUGAGGGACUUUGUUCCUCUGGCUCGGGAACACCCAGCGAAUGUCAAGGAGAUAAUUUCUAUGGAGAAGCUUAUCCUGUUUGUCCAGGACAAGUCUUGGGACUAUAGAGUUACCAGGGGUCUGGAGAUUCCCCCUCGACCAGGAAGAGAGAAUGGCAUCUCUCCAGGGAAGGCAAAUGAACAGGUUUGGUGACCCUCUUCCACCAUGUGUCCAACUUUGGAAAGACCAGAUGACUGUACCAGUCAUGUCCCAUCAAAAGUUAUCGCUUCCUCUCAGGUUUCUGUGGUUGAGAUGACCCUGAGGUGUUAAAAAGUCUCUUUUUCCCAGCCCCACGACAGAAGAAGUCAAGAUUUGUCAGUUCUGCUCUCAAGGUUGUUUAUUUUCCCUUAUCUAUCACAUUCUUUCUCUGCCCUGCUGAGCUCUGUCCAGCAGGUCGGGUUGUGGCUCAGUCCCUGCCCUUGGGCUGCUGUUGGAUUUUUAUACUAAGAACUACCUGUGCUUUAUUUACAAUAAUUUCCCAAUCCCUGUCACCUGUGUCAGACAGUCUGUCUGUGCUCUAAACCAAUCCAGAAGUGCCACCAUCCCAGCAGAAGAUGGAGGACAAGAAGAAGAAGAAGGACAGGACACGCCCAGAUUCCUCCAUCUUGCCUCUUGAACCCCCAUUCUCAAUCCCCAAAACUCUACAUUUCCACCCUGUGACAAAUUCACUGUCAUUCUACUCAAACACUUGUGCCUUGUAACUCCUCACACAAAGUUGGUAAUUGUUUCCAUGGGCUGAAAUCCAAGGCACACAGGUGUUUUUGACUCUGUGCCAAGGUCUCUGAGUGCCCUUGCCAGGGUUUUGAAUCACCCAGGGCAGCCAGAGCAAUGUCCUGGGUUCUGACAACUUCCCUGUCACACAGCUCAUGAGCUGCGUCCUGCUCCCUGCCCAGGGCUGGUGCAUGCUGCCUCCUCCAGCUCCCAGCCCUUGGGAGAGAGCAAAAGGUCUGAUUUGUGAGGAGCAGCUACUCUUGGAAGAUGGGCAAUGGGGCCAUCGCUGCUUCCUUUUCCUAUUUAUUGUAUUCUUUUCCUUCUGUGGCUGUAGAAAGAAGGGGGGAAGUGAAGGAAUAAAAGAAAAGAUGAGGUGAAAAAUCUGGAAUAAUAAAUACAAAUUUCUCUGACGGGAAUAUAGAAAACAUUGUGGAAAAAAUUUAAAUAGUGGUUUAUUCAGAGUACAAAAAACAAAACGAGCAUCUUCAUAUA
Serinus canaria (Common canary) is the source of this 3514-nucleotide long non-coding RNA. RefSeq lists it as uncharacterized. Lineage: Eukaryota; Metazoa; Chordata; Aves; Passeriformes; Fringillidae. The record is from RefSeq and is a predicted model, not a curated record. The transcript is spliced from 8 exons.